Molecule: long non-coding RNA, 805 nt
Organism: Gasterosteus aculeatus aculeatus (three-spined stickleback)
Lineage: Eukaryota; Metazoa; Chordata; Actinopteri; Perciformes; Gasterosteidae
Source: Ensembl
GGACUACGUAAAGAGACGGAGGACUAUAUCCCGGCUGUCUUUUUACGACGGUGGCAGGUUGAAGGAGGGGGGGGAGCAGCGAGCAGCAUGGCAGUCUCUGGCAAAGCGUUGACCACAAGAACCAGCAAGGCCAAAACAAAGCGCUGAAUGGCGGGCGCUGACUUCAGCGUGUCUGCCCCCUCUGAUCCACACAAGGUUGCACUGUGUGUGUUCGGCCUCCGAGAACGAAAGGGGCGGCCACGGCGCACAAUCACCACUAAGCACAUACUUUGCUGCCCCACAAUCCCCCACCAGGCCAGACACAAACCCAGGGGCUGUAUGUUUAUCAAAGCGCCUCAGGAUGCUGCCAUGGAGACAGUGCUCUUAUAUCUGUGGGGCUUCCACCUACUGUAUACCGCCAGAACAACCACACACGCGUUCACACAAACUGCAAAGAAUUCCUCCAUGCUUCACCCAAUCGCUGCAAACCCAAGCAGCGUUUGACCACAAUGAACCAUUUUGCUCACAGAUGGGUUUGCCGGAUAACGUUGGAAAGACAAUAACUGCCGAGGACCAGCCGACAUACUGCGAAGGACCUGGCAAGGGAGAGACGGCUAUUUGUAACGGGGGAAAACAAAGAUGAUAUAAGAUUUAUUGAACCAAUACAGCGGAGCAAAUGAACAACAAAUGAACAGAGCUCAGUGAAGGAUAAAAUAACACAGUGGAGAGGAGGCGUCCACAAACAGCAGUAAAUGCAGCCCGGUAUCGAUCUGGAGAAGAGAGCCUGCCAGCAACGGCUACCUUCCUCUUUCCAGGAAGACUCUGC